GCCGCAGUACAUUGACUGUGCAAAGGUAGCAUAAUCAGUUGGCUUUUAAUUGAAGUCUGGUAUGAAUGAAAAUAUGGGAGAUAACUGUCUUAGCAUAUUCAUUCGAAUUUAUUUAGUAAGUGCAAAUACUUACAAACUUCAAAAAGACGAGAAGACCCUAGAAACUUGAAGUAGUUUUUGUUGGGGCGACAGAAUUACAUUUAACUGAUUUUAAGAAACACGAC
Molecule: ribosomal RNA, 224 nt
Filed under: Helix valentini
Lineage: Eukaryota; Metazoa; Mollusca; Gastropoda; Stylommatophora; Helicidae
Description: partial 16S ribosomal RNA
Source: RNAcentral